AGCUUUCAUGACUAUAUCUUUGACAUAUUUCCAUUGGAUAGGAAAAUUGUUAUUUUUCAUCUUAACAGAGGCAAUGAUAUUUUUAUAUUUAUCAUAGAUAAUGCAGGUAUCUCCAUUAAAAUAUAGAGAAUACCCACUUUGUAUCAUUUGGCCCACACUUAAGAGAUUUUGUGCAAGACGAGGGACUAGAUAUACAUUAUGUAUAUAUUUUGGGCCUUUAUUUGUUUCCACGGUGAUGGUGCCUUUUCCUUUGACAUCUACUAAUGCACCAUUGCCCAACUUUACUUGGGAUUUCACCGACUUAUCAAUAUCAGUGAAUAUAGAUUCGUCCC
This 332-nucleotide long non-coding RNA is filed under the name Eucalyptus grandis. Its description in RNAcentral is "long non-coding RNA (EGRA_LNC006979)". Lineage: Eukaryota; Viridiplantae; Streptophyta; Magnoliopsida; Myrtales; Myrtaceae. The record is from RNAcentral.